GUGCUCACUUCAGCAGCAUAUAUAUGAAAAUUGGAAUAAUACAGAGAAGAUUAGCAUGGCCCUGCAAAAGUAUGACAUGCAACUUUGUGUGGUGUUCCAUAUUUUU
Choloepus hoffmanni (Hoffmann's two-fingered sloth) is the source of this 106-nucleotide small nuclear RNA. NCBI's taxonomy places the organism in Eukaryota, Metazoa, Chordata, Mammalia, Pilosa, Megalonychidae. The record is from Ensembl.